GGGGGUGUAGCUCAGAUGGGAGAGCGCCUGCCUUGCACGCAGGAGGCCGACGGUUCGAGUCCGUUCACCUCCACCA
RNAcentral lists this transfer RNA (76 nucleotides) under Desulfarculus sp. RNAcentral describes it as "tRNA-Ala". It matches the Rfam family "tRNA". Rfam says of the family: Transfer RNA (tRNA) molecules are approximately 80 nucleotides in length. Their secondary structure includes four short double-helical elements and three loops (D, anti-codon, and T loops). Further hydrogen bonds mediate the characteristic L-shaped molecular structure. tRNAs have two regions of fundamental functional importance: the anti-codon, which is responsible for specific mRNA codon recognition, and the 3' end, to which the tRNAs corresponding amino acid is attached (by aminoacyl-tRNA synthetases). tRNAs cope with the degeneracy of the genetic code in two manners: having more than one tRNA (with a specific anti-codon) for a particular amino acid; and 'wobble' base-pairing, i.e. permitting non-standard base-pairing at the 3rd anti-codon position. RNAcentral also lists the same sequence under 2 other names. Lineage: Bacteria; Pseudomonadati; Thermodesulfobacteriota; Desulfarculia; Desulfarculales; Desulfarculaceae. The record is from RNAcentral.